AGAGGGUGCUAGCGUUGUUCGGAAUUAUUGGGCGUAAAGCGCGUGUAGGCGGCCGGCCAAGUCGGAUGUGAAAGCCCUCGGCUCAACCGAGGAAGUGCGUUCGAUACUAGCUGGCUCGAGUACCGGAGAGGGUGGUGGAAUUCCCGGUGUAGAGGUGAAAUUCGUAGAUAUCGGGAGGAACACCAGUGGCGAAGGCGACCACCUGGACGGAUACUGGCGCUGAGACGCGAAAGCGUGGGGAGCAAACAGGAUUAGAUACCCUGGUAGUCCACGCUGUAAACGAUGAGCGCUAGGUGUUGCGGGUGUUGACCCCUGCAGUGCCGAAGCUAACGCAUUAAGCGCUCCGCCUGGGAAGUACGGCCGCAAGGCUA
This 371-nucleotide ribosomal RNA is filed under the name uncultured bacterium. RNAcentral's name for it is "bacterial SSU rRNA". It matches the Rfam family "Bacterial small subunit ribosomal RNA", at positions 527 to 896 of the family's 1533-position model. The record is from RNAcentral.